GACGAACGCUGGCGGCGUGCCUAAUACAUGCAAGUCGAGCGGAAUGAUGAAGAAGCUUGCUUCUUCUGAUUUUAGCGGCGGACGGGUGAGUAACACGUGGGCAACCUACCUUGUAGAUUGGGAUAACUCCGGGAAACCGGGGCUAAUACCGAAUAAUCCAUUUUGCUUCAUGGCGAGAUGUUGAAAGACGGUUUCGGCUGUCACUACAAGAUGGGCCCGCGGCGCAUUAGCUAAUUGGUAGGGUAAUGGCCUACCAAGGCGACGAUGCGUAGCCGACCUGAGAGGGUGAUCGGCCACACUGGGACUGAGACACGGCCCAGACUCCUACGGGAGGCAGCAGUAGGGAAUCUUCCACAAUGGACGAAAGUCUGAUGGAGCAACGCCGCGUGAGUGAAGAAGGUUUUCGGAUCGUAAAACUCUGUUGUAAGGGAAGAACACGUACGAGAGUAACUGCUCGUACCUUGACGGUACCUUAUUAGAAAGCCACGGCUAACUACGUG
RNAcentral lists this ribosomal RNA (500 nucleotides) under uncultured bacterium. RNAcentral describes it as "bacterial SSU rRNA". It matches the Rfam family "Bacterial small subunit ribosomal RNA", at positions 28 to 507 of the family's 1533-position model. The record is from RNAcentral.